UAGGGAAUCUUCGGCAAUGGACGAAAGUCUGACCGAGCAACGCCGCGUGAGUGAAGAAGGUUUUCGGAUCGUAAAACUCUGUUGUUAGAGAAGAACAAGGACGUUAGUAACUGAACGUCCCCUGACGGUAUCUAACCAGAAAGCCACGGCUAACUACGUGCCAGCAGCCGCGGUAAUACGUAGGUGGCAAGCGUUGUCCGGAUUUAUUGGGCGUAAAGCGAGCGCAGGCGGUUUCUUAAGUCUGAUGUGAAAGCCCCCGGCUCAACCGGGGAGGGUCAUUGGAAACUGGGGGACUUGAGUGCAGAAGAGGAGGGUGGAAUUCCAUGUGUAGCGGUGAAAUGCGUAGAUAUAUGGAGGAACACCAGUGGCGAAGGCGGCUCUCUGGUCUGUAACUGACGCUGAGGCUCGAAAGCGUGGGGAGCAAACAGG
RNAcentral lists this ribosomal RNA (429 nucleotides) under Acidobacteriota bacterium. RNAcentral describes it as "Acidobacteria bacterium partial 16S ribosomal RNA". It matches the Rfam family "Bacterial small subunit ribosomal RNA", at positions 355 to 776 of the family's 1533-position model. RNAcentral also lists the same sequence under 2 other names. Lineage: Bacteria; Pseudomonadati; Acidobacteriota. The record is from RNAcentral.